Molecule: small nuclear RNA, 130 nt
Organism: Lycium barbarum (goji berry)
Lineage: Eukaryota; Viridiplantae; Streptophyta; Magnoliopsida; Solanales; Solanaceae
Source: RefSeq, a predicted model, not a curated record
GUGUUCGUAGAAAGGAGAGAUGGUUGGCAUCUCCCCCGACAGGGACGGGAACAGCCUUCGGGCUUUACCUGUUAUAUCAGACACAUCCGGUUAAGGCUACCCGCUUCGGCGGAUCUUACCCAAAUUUUUU